This 324-nucleotide unclassified non-coding RNA is filed under the name Hevea brasiliensis (rubber tree). The record is from RNAcentral. Lineage: Eukaryota; Viridiplantae; Streptophyta; Magnoliopsida; Malpighiales; Euphorbiaceae.
GGAAUGUUUAAAUAACUUCGCGGUGUUUGAGAGUACGAAAACUCCUGAGCUAGAUCAGGGUGUUGUUCCCUCCAAGAGGUUAUCAGUCUCUUUAGGACAUAAUUGGUUUUAGGAAGAGUAGCUGCAGAUAAAGACUGCCUUGUAAUGGGGCAUGUUGUAUUACCUCUUUUUAUCCAUUCCUGGAUGGCUUUCCCUUCGUAUGUUUGACCGGUUUCAAGGGUGACGGGAUCAUUGAAUAUCUGUCCAGUUAUUGGACAGACAAAAUCUUUCGGUGGCCUUGAUGGAGCAGUCGACUUCUCUGACAAUGGGAGAGAAAUGCAGCUG